This 458-nucleotide ribosomal RNA is filed under the name uncultured bacterium. Its description in RNAcentral is "partial 16S ribosomal RNA". It matches the Rfam family "Bacterial small subunit ribosomal RNA", at positions 338 to 795 of the family's 1533-position model. The record is from RNAcentral.
CCUACGGGCGGCAGCAGUGAGGAAUAUUGGUCAAUGGGCGAGAGCCUGAACCAGCCAAGUCGCGUGAGGGAGUACUGCCCUAUGGGUUGUAAACCUCUUUUGUCGGGGAGCAAAAGCCGGACGUGUCCGGCUGGUAGAGUACCCGAAGAAAAAGCAUCGGCUAACUCCGUGCAAGCAGACGCGGGAAUACGGGGGAUGCGAGCGUUAUCCGGUUUUAUUGGGGUUAAAGGGUGCGCGGGCGGGUUUUUAAGUCAGCGGUCAAAUCGUGGGGCUCAACCCCAUCCAGCCGUUGAAACUGGGGAUCUAGAGUGUGCGAGAGGUAUGCGGAAUGCGUGGUGUAGCGGUGAAAUGCAUAGAUAUCACGCAGAACCCCGAUUGCGAAGGCAGCAUACCGGUGCACAACUGACGCUCAGGCACGAAAGCGUGGGUAUCGAACAGGAUUAGAUACCCGGGUAGUC